This 459-nucleotide ribosomal RNA is filed under the name uncultured bacterium. RNAcentral's name for it is "partial 16S ribosomal RNA". It matches the Rfam family "Bacterial small subunit ribosomal RNA", at positions 338 to 795 of the family's 1533-position model. The record is from RNAcentral.
CCUACGGGUGGCAGCAGUGAGGAAUAUUGGUCAAUGGCCGGAAGGCUGAACCAGCCAAGUCGCGUGAGGGAAGACUGCCCUAUGGGUUGUAAACCUCUUUUAUACGGGGAGAAUAAAUUCCACGUGUGGAAGUAUGCAUGUACCUCAUGAAUAAGCACCGGCUAACUCCGUGCCAGCAGCCGCGGUAAUACGGAGGGUGCGGGCGUUAUCCGGAUUUAUUGGGUUUAAAGGGUGCGUAGGCGGUUUUUUAAGUUUGUGGUUAAACUUUGGGGCUACACCUUGAUUUGCGAUUAAAACUGUAAGCCUUGAGUGCAGACGAGGCAGGCGGAAUUAGUUGAGUAGCGGUGAAAUGCUUAGAUAUAACGAAGAACCCCGAUAGCGAAGGCAGCUUGCCGGAGUGCUACUGACGCUGAAGCACGAGAGCGUGGGUAGCGAACAGGAUUAGAUACCCGAGUAGUC